UUUGUAUAAUGGGUCAGCGACUUAUAUUCAGUGGCAAGGUUAACCAUCUAGGGGAGCCGUAGGGAAACCGAGUCUUAACUGGGCGUUCAGUCUCUGGAUAUAGACCCGAAACCAGGUGAUCUAGCCAUGGGCAGGUUGAAGGUUGAGUAACAUCAACUGGAGGACCGAACCGACUAAUGUUGAAAAAUUAGCGGAUGACUUGUGGCUAGGGGUGAAAGGCCAAUCAAACCUGGAGAUAGCUGGUUCUCCCCGAAAGCUAUUUAGGUAGCGCCUCGGACGAAUACUACUGGGGGUAGAGCACUGUUAAGGCUAGGGGGUCAUCCCGACUUACCAACCCUUUGCAAACUCCGAAUACCAGUAAGUACUAUCCGGGAGACACACGGCGGGUGCUAACGUCCGUCGUGGAGAGGGAAACAACCCAGACCGCCAGCUAAGGUCCCAAAUUACUACUAAGUGGGAAACGAUGUGGGAAGGCUCAGACAGCCAGGAUGUUGGCUUAGAAGCAGCCAUCAUUUAAAGAAAGCGUAAUAGCUCACUGGUCGAGUCGGCCUGCGCGGAAGAUGUAACGGGGCUAAGUAGUAAACCGAAGCUGCGGCAAUAUACUUUUGUAUAUUGGGUAGGGGAGCGUUCUGUAAGCGGUUGAAGGUGUGUGGUAACGCAUGCUGGACGUAUCAGAAGUGCGAAUGCUGACAUGAGUAACGAUAAAGGGGGUGAAAAACCUCCUCGCCGGAAGACCAAGGGUUCCUGUCCAACGUUAAUCGGGGCAGGGUAAGUCGACCCCUAAGGCGAGGCCGAAAGGCGUAGUCGAUGGGAAACGGGUUAAUAUUCCCGUACUUCUUACAAUUGCGAUGGGGGGACGGAGAAGGCUAGGUGGGCCUGGCGACGGUUGUCCAGGUUCAAGUGCGUAGGCUGAGAGAUUAGGUAAAUCCGGUUUCUCUUAAGGCUGAGACACGACGUCGAGCACCUACGGGUGUGAAGUCAUUGAUGCCAUGCUUCCAGGAAAAGCCUCUAAGCUUCAGAUUGUAAGGAAUCGUACCCCAAACCGACACAGGUGGUCGGGUAGAGAAUACCAAGGCGCUUGAGAGAACUCGGGUGAAGGAACUAGGCAAAAUGGUACCGUAACUUCGGGAGAAGGUACGCUCUCGACGGUGAAGUCCCUUGCGGAUGGAGCUAUUGAGAGUCGCAGAUACCAGGUGGCUGCAACUGUUUAUUAAAAACACAGCACUGUGCAAAAUCGUAAGAUGACGUAUACGGUGUGACGCCUGCCCGGUGCCGGAAGGUUAAUUGAUGGGGUUAGACUUCGGUCGAAGCUCUUGAUCGAAGCCCCGGUAAACGGCGGCCGUAACUAUAACGGUCCUAAGGUAGCGAAAUUCCUUGUCGGGUAAGUUCCGACCUGCACGAAUGGCGUAAUGAUGGCCACGCUGUCUCCACCCGAGACUCAGUGAAAUUGAAAUCGCUGUGAAGAUGCAGUGUACCCGCGGCUAGACGGAAAGACCCCGUGAACCUUUACUACAGCUUGGCACUGAACAUUGACCCUACAUGUGUAGGA
Molecule: ribosomal RNA, 1549 nt
Filed under: Vibrio parahaemolyticus
Lineage: Bacteria; Pseudomonadati; Pseudomonadota; Gammaproteobacteria; Vibrionales; Vibrionaceae
Description: partial 23S ribosomal RNA
Rfam family: Bacterial large subunit ribosomal RNA
Source: RNAcentral